RNAcentral lists this transfer RNA (86 nucleotides) under Binataceae bacterium (SeqCode). Its description in RNAcentral is "tRNA-Leu". It matches the Rfam family "tRNA". From Rfam's summary of the family: Transfer RNA (tRNA) molecules are approximately 80 nucleotides in length. Their secondary structure includes four short double-helical elements and three loops (D, anti-codon, and T loops). The record is from RNAcentral. Lineage: Bacteria; Candidatus Binatota; Binatia (SeqCode); Binatales (SeqCode); Binataceae (SeqCode).
GCCGAGGUGGCGAAACGGCAGACGCAGUGGACUCAAAAUCCACCGUCCGUAAGGACAUGCGGGUUCAAGUCCCGCCCUCGGUACCA